GAUGAACGCUAGCUACAGGCUUAACACAUGCAAGUCGAGGGGAAACGACAUCGAAAGCUUGCUUUUGAUGGGCGUCGACCGGCGCACGGGUGAGUAACGCGUAUCCAACCUGCCCACCACUUGGGGAUAACCUUGCGAAAGUAAGACUAAUACCCAAUGACGUCCAUAGAAGACAUCUGAAAUGGGUUAAAGAUUUAUCGGUGAUGGAUGGGGAUGCGUCUGAUUAGCUUGUUGGCGGGGUAACGGCCCACCAAGGCGACGAUCAGUAGGGGUGCUGAGAGGAAGGUCCCCCACAUUGGAACUGAGACACGGUCCAAACUCCUACGGGAGGCAGCAGUGAGGAAUAUUGGUCAAUGGGCGAGAGCCUGAACCAGCCAAGUAGCGUGCAGGAUGACGGCCCUAUGGGUUGUAAACUGCUUUUAUAAGGGAAUAAAGUGAGCCUCGUGAGGCUUUUUGCAUGUACCUUAUGAAUAAGGACCGGCUAAUUCCGUGCCAGCAGCCGCAGUAA
This 508-nucleotide ribosomal RNA is filed under the name uncultured bacterium. Its description in RNAcentral is "partial 16S ribosomal RNA". It matches the Rfam family "Bacterial small subunit ribosomal RNA", at positions 28 to 523 of the family's 1533-position model. The record is from RNAcentral.